Molecule: non-coding RNA, 4317 nt
Organism: Phoenix dactylifera (date palm)
Lineage: Eukaryota; Viridiplantae; Streptophyta; Magnoliopsida; Arecales; Arecaceae
Source: RefSeq, a predicted model, not a curated record
CGAAAGCGCCCGAAUCGCGGCCGAGUAACCCGAGUUGCCAACUUGCCAUUAGGGAUUUGCAGAGGCGUCGGCGCGUCGCGGACGAGCGGUGGAGGCGACGAGGCGUGGUCCCCCUGGAGCUAGGGUUUCUCCGGUCGUCGUCGUCGUCGUCGACUGGUCGUCGUCGUCGUCGACCGUCCAAGCUCGGCGAAGUGGCGAAGAGGAGUCCCGACCACCCUAUCAUCGGCGAAGCUAGGUUUUGAGGUACGAUUACAUUUACGAAUGAAUCUUCUUCGUUUUGGUUGGGAUCUUCUUCGUUUUGGUUGGGAUCUUCUUCCUUUUGGUUGGGAUUUGCCGAGGCGCAGAGCGGACGAGCGGCGGAGGCAUGGAGCUAGGGUUUCUCCGCUUCUUGUCGGCUCGUCGCCGCUCGCUGGGUUGAUUACACUUCGGCCGGUCGCCCGACGCGGGCCAGUCUGCCGAAUGCCUUAAUCCACCCACAGGCCACAGAGUGCCACAAAACCAGCAGCAGUUCCAAGCCCUGAUCCUCCCUUUUUCCAGUACAGUGUUGAUGUGUUGAGAAAUGAGAAGAUGUGGGUGUCAUUUUUGGACUGUCGAACACUUGGAACUUGGAAGGGGACUGAACUUGGUUUUUUGUUAGACUGAACUUUCCAGGUUUUCUCCUUCUUGUUCUUCUGUCACUCGUACAAAACUUUUGGUAUUCUCUCUCAGAAAAAAAAAAGCUAAACAUUUGGAUAUGUCUGAAGGAGAUGUAAUGAACACUUGAUGCAGUUUAUUGAAAGAAGAACUCACUGCUGUUGCUUUUUUAUUUAAAAAUCUACUGGAUAUGCUAUUGCAAUUGCUAAAUUGAUUGAGUUUAUUGGCAGAUGGGUGCACUUUUCAUGUAGAAUAUUCAAAAUCUACUCUAUGAAGAACAGGGGUGUUUUUUUAUUGCGACUCAAAAUUUCCUUGCAUUGUCAAAAUAUUAUCUUUAUUAGUUUUGGUAUUCCUAUUGCUGUUUAGGGUUAUUCUUAUGGAUGUUUAGUUUUGGUAUUCCUAUUGCUGUUUAUUAGUUUUGGUAUUCCUUGCAUUGUCAAAGUAUUAUCUUCAAUAUUGGCUGCACAAAUGCACUUAUGGAUGUUUUACAUUUGAGUUGUGACUGCAUUAUGCUUUUCUUUACUUUAUCAGUUUAUCAUGCUUAUUGCCUAUUUGCCUGUAUUGAGUGCAUCCCUUGAGUACCUUUUUAAAAGGAAGCUUGGCUUCCUCUACAUUUUGCAGUAUAGGAACAUAGUUGGAUGAUUGAAGAUUUUUAUUUUUUUAUUUGGACAGAUUAUUUUUACUAAUGUCUCAUUCUAAAGUGGGUGAAAAUGAGACUGUUGAAGAUUUAAGGAAUGAGGAUGAUAGAAAUGAAGAUACUGCUGAAAAUGUUUGUGACAAUUCUUCUAGAAAAAGAUCUUGGGUAUGAAAUCACUUUAUCGAGGAAAAAAAUUCUGAAGGGUCAAUAGCUAAGUGCAAAUAUUGUAAAAAAGUUUUAAGUGGGAGCACUAAAGGAGGAACGAGUCAUCUAAAACGCCAUCUUGAAAAUGUUUGCAAGAAGUAUCAAAAGAAUCCGACUAAUCAGUUGCUCUUACUACCAAGUUCAAAAGAUCUGAUAAAGUGUUUCAAAUUCAAUCAAGAAGAGAGUAGAAAAAUUCUUGCAAAAUUUAUCAUAUGUGCUGAGCUUCCAUUUCGUAUUGUUGAGCACACUAUUUUUCUGAAUUUUAUGAGAUCUCUUCAGCCAUUAUUCAAAAUUAUGGGUUGUAAGCCUGUAAAACAUGAUUGUAUGGCUUUGUAUCAAGAAGAGAGGAAAAAAUUGCAUGAUGUAUUCAAGAACCUAAGUUCUCGGGUUAGUUUCACUACUGAUAUUUGGACAUCAAAUCAGAAAAUUGGUUACAUUUCUUUCACAGCACAUUAUAUUGAUUCUGAUUUUACUCUGCAUAAGAAGAUUAUUAGUUUCAAGAAACUUCCAUACCCUCACACCAGCUUUGCAAUUGAAGAUGCUGUAAAAAAAUAUCUUAUUGAAUGAAAAUUGGAUUGUAAAAUAUGUGCUAUUACUUUGGAUAAUUGCAGCACAAAUGAUGCUGUAAUGAGAAGGCUCCGAGAUCACUUUUGUUAUUCAAUGUUGUUUAGUGGGGAGUACAGUCAUAUUAGAUGUUGUGCACAUAUAUUAAAUAUUAUGGUUCAGGAUGGAAUGAAAAUCAUUCAUGAAGCUAUUGAAUGUAUAAGAGAAAUUGUUAGAUAUGUCUCUGCAUCCCCAUCUCGAAUGCAAGCAUUUAAUGAAAUUCUACAGCAUAUGAGACUUCCUGCUAGAAAAGGACUCACUUUGGAUGUUCCUACAAGAUGAAAUUCUACUUAUGAAAUGUUGCAUGAUGCACUUGGUUAUAAAGAUGCUCUUAUUAGAUAUGCAACUGAGCAUUCAUGUGUAUGCCCCACCAAUGAUGAAUGGAAAAAGGCUUCUAUAAUUCUUAAAUUUUUAGAAGCCUUUCUUGAUGCUACUAAAGUAUUUUCUGGUUGUAAGUAUCCCACAUCCAAUUUAUACCUAAAAGAAGUUUAGAGAAUUAGGGCUUUGUUGAUGGAUGAAAGUAUCGAUACUGAUGAAACAGUGAAGCAAUUAACAAAUGAGAUGCUAAAGAAGUUUAACAAAUAUUGGUCUCAGUGCAAUAAUUUGUUGGUAAUUGCUUCUAUUUUGGAUCCCAGAUCAAAGUUGAUAUUUGUAGAGUUUUGUUAUCAAAAGGCAUUUGAGUUGGAGGAGUGCAAAAAAAAGAUUGAUGAUAUCCGUGCUUGUCUUUUUAAAUUGUAUAAUGAGUAUGUAGAUGCAACAAGAAUGCAUCCCUUUAUGAGUUCAAGUGAGCGAACAUCUAAUUUUGGUGGACAAGGUGAUAUAAGUUCAAUUUCUUCCAAAAAAAAUUUGGUAUGGAUUUUGCUCAAUUUAGAAGUCAGAGUUCUUCAAAACGCCCUAAGAGAUCCGAGUUGGAUAGUUAUUUGGAUGAUGAUGUACUUCCUGAUUUGGAGAAUAAGGAGUUUGACAUCUUGGCUUGGUGAAAGAGCAAUGCAGCAGUCUAUCCUAUACUAUCAAGAAUAGCUCGAGAUGUUCUAGCUAUUCCAGUCUCCACUGUUUCAUCUGAGUCAGCAUUCAGCACUGGUGGUAGAGUUGUGGAUCAGUAUCGAAGCUCUUUGAGCCCUUCUACUGCAGAAGCCUUAGUGUGUACCCAAGAUUGGCUUCGUGAACAAUAUGAUGAAGUUGCAAAUUGCUCGAGUUCUGUAACGUUGAAUGUAGAUGACGACACCCUGGACUCCUGGAGUGGGCAAUUUGGGAGAACUGAAUGACGAUACCCUCAUCAGAUCUAGUUCAUACCUAAAGUAUCAAGUAUCAAGUAUGUUUGUUGAUGGAGUAUUUUCAUGUGGAUCAUGGUUAUUUCUCUAUUACAUGGAUAUGAUGAAUAUAAUAUUGUGCAGGGAACAACGACUUCAGGCCGAUGAUUUUUUUUAUCCUCCUGUUUUUGAUGGAAUCCUUUUGUUUGGUUUCAGUUGUAUCGUUGCAGUUGGUUGCAUGGAAUGAAUUUUUUUGCAAGUUAUCUUCAAACCAUCAGAUGCUAUUUUGUUAAUGAUAUGUCUGAUUGCCUACUUGGUCUAUCUCAUAUUUGAUGGAAUCCUACUUGGAUCUAACACAAUUCCAAUGACUUUUGUGGUCGUAAAUUUCUUUUGCAGAUAAUUUUUGUUGAUUUGUUCUAUUUUUGUCACUUGCCAAAAAAAAAGAGAAUUUUAUACUGAUGGUUUUGGGAUGUUCAUAAAUCAGGCUUGUUUCAUAGUCUUGACUGAAAUGAGAGACAAAAUGGAAAAUAAACUUUCUUUUGUUGUCCAAGCUCUUUUCUUUUUUCUUUUUAUUGCAGAUGGCUGCAUUUGUGUGCCUGUCCCUUGAUGUAGGACUUGUUCCCCUUCUAUCAUUAGUGAUGUACAGGUCUAUCUAUGGCACCGGGGUGCUGGAGAUCUCAUACAGGCAUUACCUGGGCAUGCUGGUGCUAUCAACUGUGUCAGCUGGCACCCAAUUUAUCAUCAUAUGUUGGCAUCAGCCAGUGAUGACCAUACAGUACGUGUAUGGGGGUUAAACAGGAUUAACCUGAAGCGGAAAGAAGCUGGUUAUAGCAAUGGAAUGGUCCACCAUUGCAAUGGAAAUAGUAAAUGAAGAUGCAAAUUUGGAGCAUUGAGGCAUUUAGUUUCUUUGACCAUUCCUUCAUUAAUUGUACAUUCUUUUACUUGUUCUUUUGUUGGCGUACACAGCAGACAGCCUCCAAAAAUAUGAGG